Molecule: ribosomal RNA, 501 nt
Filed under: uncultured bacterium
Lineage: Bacteria
Description: partial 16S ribosomal RNA
Rfam family: Bacterial small subunit ribosomal RNA
Source: RNAcentral
AUUGAACGCUGGCGGCAGGCUUAACACAUGCAAGUCGAGCGGGGGAAGGUAGCUUGCUACUGGACCUAGCGGCGGACGGGUGAGUAAUGCCUAGGAAUCUGCCUAUUAGUGGGGGACAACAUCUCGAAAGGGAUGCUAAUACCGCAUACGUCCUACGGGAGAAAGCAGGGGAUCUUUGGACCUUGCGCUAAUAGACGAGCCUAAGUCGGAUUAGCUAGUUGGUGGGGUAAAGGCCUACCAAGGCGACGAUCUGUAGCGGGUCUGAGAGGAUGAUCCGCCACACUGGGACUGAGACACGGCCCAGACUCCUACGGGAGGCAGCAGUGGGGAAUAUUGGACAAUGGGGGGAACCCUGAUCCAGCCAUGCCGCGUGUGUGAAGAAGGCCUUAUGGUUGUAAAGCACUUUAAGCGAGGAGGAGGCUACUCUAGUUAAUACCUAGGGAUAGUGGACGUUACUCGCAGAAUAAGCACCGGCUAACUCUGUGCCAGCCGCCGCCGUAA